Molecule: long non-coding RNA, 488 nt
Organism: Stegodyphus dumicola
Lineage: Eukaryota; Metazoa; Arthropoda; Arachnida; Araneae; Eresidae
Source: RefSeq, a predicted model, not a curated record
AACAACAAAUCUCCAGCAAGUGCCAUCCCAAACAUCAUCAUCAGAAUCUAAGGAAACAAAUGUACAACAUCUUUAUUUUAUGGAAGGCUGUAACCAUUUAUAGGCAUUAGCCACUACUAAGAACGGAAGCGGUGGCUUCUUAUGGAGGCACUGGGAUCUUUUACCUUUGCCUUCUCGAGUAAAUUACAUCCUUGGCCUUCUCGGGGAUUCGAACUCUGUCCGUUCGACAAAGAACGUCUAUGCCAUCGGUACGGCAGUCAAAAUAACUACACACUUUCCCGCCUGGGCGACUCAUUAACAAAACUAAUUAUCAACAAUCUGUUUUCGGAACUCAAUAUUGGAAUUUUUGGUGUUAUUUAAUUAUUUUAUUACUUUCUGCUAACCUCUGAAAACAAGAAACAUUUUCUUUCCCUGAUUGUCUGUCCUGAACUUUGUCCUUAAAACGUGAGGGCCCAUAAUCUGGAUGAUUAGGAUCAUUAGAUGGUUUA